UGGGUUGUUGUGGCCACACUGAAGUACACAGCAUUUUGCAAUAUUCAGUGGUAUUUGCCACUUCUCGCUCCAUUGGAAAAUUAAAUUAAGUUGGUCUUGCAAGUCCGUGACAAGUGGGUUAGCAAAUAACUUAAUAUCAUCCGCAUAUGCUGAAUAGCUGUCUAGUGAAAACAAUAAAUCUGCUGUAUAUAACAAGAAUAAAAUUGGUCCAAGAACUGAUCCCUGUGGGACCCCACUUAAUACUGGUUUAGAGUACGAAAAUUUACCGCAGACUUUUACACAAUAGUUUCGAUUUGAUAGAAACGCUCGGAUCCAAUCAAGCAAAUUUCCUGUUACACCAUAGGACUCCAGUUUUGCUAACAAGAGAUUGUGAGGGACUUUAUCAAAGGCUUUACUAAAAUCAAGAUUUGUGCAGGAUAGCAAAUUUGUGACAACUGACCUACCUGGUAAAAAGCCGUGCUGAUGCUCAGCAUGUCGACGUGAGACUUACAGGUCUAUAGUUAGCAGGAUCAAGUUUAUCUCCUGACUUGUACAAAGGCGUGAUUGUUGCUUGCAACCACUCGUAGGGCAAAGUGCCUUGUAAGAAUGAUUUUCUCAUCAUUUUGGCAAGUGGGCCCGACAACGAAGCAGCACAAGUUCUCAGGAGUUUGGGAGGUAUCUGAUCCGGACCUGGAGCUGUAUUUAAUUUAAUGGCACAGAGUUGGCUUUUUACCAGAUCCGGAGUAAAAUUAAUAUAAGACAACCCACUAAAUGUAGUAGCAAAACUGUCCGCUAAAGUGUUUGCAGUUUCUGUAUGAUCGGAGCAGAGUAGACUUGAAGCAUUUCGUACUAAAGGGACCGACACACGACUAGAGAUAAAUUUACGUACAUGGGAAUAAAAUAGUUUUGGUUUAUUUAAUAUAGAAUUUUCAUAAUUACACCUGGCCAUUUGUAAAUCAGAUUUUAGUUGGUUAGAAAAUCUUUUAUAAGCAGAAAAAUUAUCUUCAGUAGGCUGCCUUUUAAAUUUUUUCCAUAAUUUAGCUUUGUAUUUUAUUUUGUCAAGCAUGUGUUGAUUUAUCCACGGUUUAUCUUUUCUCAGUCGGUUUGUAAACAGUCUGGAAUUUGUUGUAAUGCAAGUUUGUAAAAUCGAUUUAAAAUGUUUCCAUUGUUCUUCCGCAUUUAGUGAAUCUAAACCAUUCCAGUCGUAAGUCAAGAGACUUUCGUCUAUGCGAGUGUAGUCAACAAUUGAUGUUGUUUUAAUUCUUGCAUUUGGCUCUGAAUAUAUCAUAAUUUGUAACUCAAUUUCGAUUUUUGAAUGAUCAGAUGUACCUACAGGAUUCGAAACGUUUAAAGACGAUACAAGGUUAACGUCAGACAAAAUUACCAAAUCAAGUAAUGAAGGACGUUGUUGGGAUCUAAAUCGUGUAGGUUCAGUGACUAUUUGUGACAAAUUAUUCUCCAAGAGCAAUUCAGAAAAUUGUUUUUCAAUGAUUGUUUGACCUGUUGUGUUUUUAGCAGACCAGUCUAUACAAGGAAAAUUGAAAUCUCCCAUGAUAAUUAAGUUAGGAUA
Molecule: long non-coding RNA, 1549 nt
Organism: Tribolium castaneum (red flour beetle)
Lineage: Eukaryota; Metazoa; Arthropoda; Insecta; Coleoptera; Tenebrionidae
Exons: 4
Source: RefSeq, a predicted model, not a curated record